This 89-nucleotide transfer RNA is filed under the name Cadophora sp. M221. It matches the Rfam family "tRNA". From Rfam's summary of the family: Transfer RNA (tRNA) molecules are approximately 80 nucleotides in length. Their secondary structure includes four short double-helical elements and three loops (D, anti-codon, and T loops). Lineage: Eukaryota; Fungi; Ascomycota; Leotiomycetes; Helotiales; Ploettnerulaceae. The record is from Rfam by way of RNAcentral.
GGGCGCUUGGUCUAGGGGUAUGAUUUUCGUUUCGCAUGCUUCGCAGCAUUGUCUAUGAAAGGUCGUGGGUUCAAUUCCCACAGUGUCCA